Molecule: long non-coding RNA, 2429 nt
Organism: Oncorhynchus mykiss (rainbow trout)
Lineage: Eukaryota; Metazoa; Chordata; Actinopteri; Salmoniformes; Salmonidae
Source: Ensembl
ACAUUAACACACGUUACUGAAAACCCACACUAACACGUUACUGAAAACCCACACUAACACACGUUACUGAAAACCCACAUUAACACACGUUACUGAAAACCCACACUAACACACGUUACUGAAAACCCACACUAACACACGUUACUGAAAACCCACAUUAACACACGUUACUGAAAACCCACACUAACACGUUACUGAAAACCCACAUUAACACACGUUACUGAAAACCCACACUAACAGACGUUACUGAAAACCCACAUUAAUACACGUUACUGAAAACCCACACUAACACACGUUACUGAAAACCCACAUUAACACACGUUACUGAAAACCCACACUAACACGUUACUGAAAACCCACACUAACACGUUACUGAAAACCCACAUUAACACACGUUACUGAAAACCCACACUAACACACGUUACUGAAAACCCACAUUAACACACGUUACUGAAAACCCACACUAACACGUUACUGAAAACCCAUACUAACACACGUUACUGAAAACCCACAUUAACACACGUUAAUGAAAACCCACACUAACACACAUUAAUGAAAAUACACACUCUUUAUAUUAAGAGUAUUGCACUUUUAUGUAGCCUACUUUUGGCCAGCUAACAGCCUAAUCACCGAUCAACGUUUUGGACUAAACAUUGAAAUCCUAUUGCUGCAGGAUUAUUUUGCUGUGACAAUAUAGGUCAAAUUAAGAUCCUCCAUCUGUAUCUCUCUAUCUUUCAUAAUUUGGGGUAAAUGGAAAAAUUAGCCUUAGGCCUUCAUGGGAACAUGAAGCCAUUACUCUCUAUUACAGCCCUAUACCACGUUAUGGUGUGGGAACAUGAAGCCAUUACUCUCUAUUACAGCCCUAUACCACAUUAUGGUGUGGGAACAUGAAGCCAUUACUCUCUAUACAGCCCUAUACCACAUUAUGGUGUGGGAACAUGAAGCCAUUACUCUCUAUUACAGCCCUAUACCACGUUAUGGUGUGGGAACAUGAAGCCAUCACUCUCUAUACAGCUCAUACACAGACAUAUAGGAACACUGUCCCCAUGUAGACAAUCACAUGUGCAACCACAAAUGGUUCCCACCCAAAACUGCGCUCUGCUGAUGAGCUAAUAACAAAGAGUAUAGACCAAGGACCUACACCUAUAUUCUAGCUGUCAGAGAAAAUCCCAAAACUCCUUGACAUUUUUGCAGACACUCUUAUCCAGAGCAAUUAGGGUUCGAUACCUUGCUCAAGUACAAAUCAAAAGAUUUUUUCGCCUAGUCAGCUUGGGGAUUCAAACCAGCAACCAUCCAAUUAUUGCCUAAAGUCUCUUAACCACUAAGCUACCAAAUUAUUGUUUUGGAUUUGACAGCUCCUCGGAGGCAGUGAAUGCACAAAUAGAAUCUGCAGAGACUCCCUACCGUAGUUCUUUGUAUUCAGGUAGGUUGUUCAGGCCUUAGUGUAGGCCUAUAGGACGCUAAAUAACAGCAGAACCGUCCCAAAAUACAAUUCACCCGCAGGGCACAGGAUUUAUUUGACACUUAGGCCUGGUCAUUUUCAACACACAAAGGCCAUAACCUUACAAUAUUCCUCCUCCGCCCAUGAAAGAACUGUGAGCUGAGAACUGUCAUUUGUGUGUCAGAGCUCCCAGUCUUUUGUCUUUGCUAUUCUGUAGGCGUGUUGUUGUUGUUGACUGAUCUCCCAUAAUGAUGCAGCUAGAUCAGUCAAUAACUGGCUAAGUAUAUGGCCUGUACAGGAAUAUGUGUGUGUUUGUGUGUGUGUGGGGGGAGGGGGGGGUGGGGGGGUCUCGUUUCCAUGACAACAUUGCUAUUAAAUGCAGGCCAUCCAAUAAAGGAUAUGGAUAGGUGUGUACAGAAUGAUAAUUAAUAGAAUAGAGUAGAAGGAAAAACACAUGGAUUCUAUAGUUCUAUAUUAUUCUAUAGAAUACCCUACCCAUUGAAAUUUUUACGGGUUUAUUGUGGCUGUGAUCUUUCACAAAUAACUGAUUUGUCUAUUGUGUAAAUUCAAUAAUGCAUACACGAGGACACGCAUUUUACAUGGAUAUUGCUCUAUUAAAGUAACAUACCAUGCUGUGAUUAGGCCUUUUCAUUUGCAAUAUUUCGUCUAGAUAUUUCGUCUAGAUCGUGAAUUUAUUCACAUCCACAUUAUUAUAAAGGCAACGGUCUGACAAAUGACGCGGCUUUGCAAACCCAACACAUGCUCAAUUGCUUACCUCAUUUUUUCUCCUGUUCAAUUAGACGAUGACAUGAAGAAAUUGACAUAUACCGGUUUUUCCCUCUCAGACCGUUUGUAAAGCAGAAUGUUCUAAUUCAAUAUAACUCAAAGAUCAUACGCCAAUGUUCACCAAUUAUGUAUGGCUGUCGGCAAUGCAGUCAGUCUGAUUCUGAAAUACAAUGCGAGGAACCGAACGUUCUCCCUUUCUCUC